GCCUUCAUGGUGCAACUGGUAGCACACUCGGUGCAUAUUUGAGAGGUCCAGGUUUGAGUCCCAGUGAGGGCA
RNAcentral lists this transfer RNA (72 nucleotides) under Stegodyphus mimosarum. It matches the Rfam family "tRNA". Rfam says of the family: Transfer RNA (tRNA) molecules are approximately 80 nucleotides in length. Lineage: Eukaryota; Metazoa; Arthropoda; Arachnida; Araneae; Eresidae. The record is from Rfam by way of RNAcentral.